This 171-nucleotide ribosomal RNA is filed under the name Planiliza tade (Tade mullet). RNAcentral describes it as "partial small subunit ribosomal RNA". The record is from RNAcentral. RNAcentral also lists the same sequence under 1 other name. Lineage: Eukaryota; Metazoa; Chordata; Actinopteri; Mugiliformes; Mugilidae.
CACCGCGGUUAUACGAGAGGUCCAAGUUGACAGCCAUCGGCGCAAAGAGUGGUUAAGUGACCCCAAUACAACUAAAGUCGAACGCCCCCAAGGCCGUUAUACGUACUCGGAGGUAUGAAGCACGACUACGAAAGUGGCUUUAAAACCCCUGACCCCACGAAAGCUGUGAAA